This 128-nucleotide ribosomal RNA is filed under the name Nannospalax galili (Upper Galilee mountains blind mole rat). The record is from RNAcentral. Lineage: Eukaryota; Metazoa; Chordata; Mammalia; Rodentia; Spalacidae.
GGCCAUACCAUCCUGAAUGCGCCCAAUCUCGUCUGAUCUCAGAAGCUAAGCAGGGUCGGGCCUGGUUAGUACUUCGAUGGGUGAUAAACAGAUUUUUUUUUUUUUGGUCUUUUUGAGACAAGGUCUCU